Molecule: ribosomal RNA, 431 nt
Filed under: uncultured Sphingobacteriales bacterium
Lineage: Bacteria; Pseudomonadati; Bacteroidota; Sphingobacteriia; Sphingobacteriales
Description: bacterial SSU rRNA
Rfam family: Bacterial small subunit ribosomal RNA
Source: RNAcentral
AAUCGAUGAUACGCGAGGAACCUUACCUGGCUUAAAUGUAGAGUGCAUUUUUUAGAGAUAGAAAUUCCCUUCGGGGCUUUCUGCAAGGUGCUGCAUGGUUGUCGUCAGCUCGUGCCGUGAGGUGUCGGGUUAAGUCCCAUAACGAGCGCAACCCUUAUCGUUAGUUGCCAUCUGGUAAUGCAGGGGACUCUAGCGAAACUGCCACCGUAAGGUGAGAGGAAGGUGGGGAUGACGUCAAAUUAGCACGGCCCUUAUGUCCAGGGCUACACACGUGUUACAAUGGUCGGUACAGAGGGCAGCUACCUGGUGACAGGAUGCUAAUCUCGAAAACCGGUCUCAGUUCGGAUCGAAGUCUGCAACUCGACUUCGUGAAGCUGGAUUCGCUAGUAAUCGCGGAUCAGCAUGCCGCGGUGAAUACGUUCCCGGGCCUU